CUUCCUCUUCCACACGCACGAGCGGGCGCACCGCCGCCGCCGACGCCUUCCUCGCGGAGUUUGCGGCCGAAGGAUCGGUUGGGGCGCACCGGGUCGGCCUUCGGUGGGGCGCAGUGCGAGCUCUCGGCUCGGGGCAGGAGGCGGCUCGAUGAAGAGGAGCUGGGGCGCGACGCUCCUCUCCUGGUGUGGCGCACGAGGGAAGGAGGAGGGGAUCGAUCCAAGACGGGAGCUGAGGCUGGCGGCGCCCUUCACACAAGCCUCACCGGCGGUGCCUUCUACACAAGCCUCACCGGCGGUGCGGCGGGAGAGCUCCGACCCGUCCAUAGGUGCAGGGAUGCAGAUCCGCGUCGCGAGCCUGUACUAGGCCGAGGUUGAUGCGCCGGCGCAGGGGUCGCCAUCCAUCUUCGCCAGGCCUCCAGAGUACUCCAGCAACAGCCACUGGACGGCAGAUAUUUUGCCGGAUGACCCACUGUAUGAGCAUGCCACAUCCUUUCUUGCUCACCCAGCACACGACAUUCCUGUAUGUCGUUGUGUGCUUCUCAGUACAGUAGAGGUACCACACGGGGUGGUGACUGGGAGGCUGGGACAUGCUGGCACGGCCAAACAGCUGGUUUACUGCAAUCAGGGUGCUAGAGGCUCUUGGGGUUGCAGCCCGCUCGCCUGCUGGAGGUACAAUGUUGAUUAUUUAGAGACCUCAUCUUCAUGAGACUAGCAAGGGAUGGACAUUCUGAAGAAGAAGAGAUGAGGUGAGUUUCUGAAGUUCACCGUCCAAUCCAAGUAUUAAAGGUGAGCAUUACUAUUCAAAGGGACAUAAUUAACCUGUUAAAUUUUUUUUAGAGCAAGAAACCACUUAUUAUCUAACCGAAUAACUAUAAAAUAGCUACUUUUUCUAAAAUGAGGUUUCGUCUUUAAAUAGAGAUGGACCAGAGAAGGGGCUUGAGAAAUGCUUAUUAGGCUAGAGGCGUAUGAUUUUUUUCUCCCGUUGCAACGCACGGACAUGUUUGCUAUAAUAAUAAAGCAUUCAGUGGAGGGGCUUAGAAAAAUAGAAACAGUUCUAUUUGAUAUACAAUGUACUUCAGAAAUUAAUGGCUGGAGGAUCCUAAACUAACAUAUGGCAUUUUGUUUCAAUUUCUCUUUACCUGAUUGUGUUACUUAUGCACAAGCACCAUACUUG
This is an RNA transcript of Triticum dicoccoides, 1174 nucleotides long. RefSeq lists it as uncharacterized. The transcript is spliced from 6 exons. The record is from RefSeq and is a predicted model, not a curated record. Lineage: Eukaryota; Viridiplantae; Streptophyta; Magnoliopsida; Poales; Poaceae.